This is a long non-coding RNA of Falco peregrinus (peregrine falcon), 854 nucleotides long. RefSeq lists it as uncharacterized. The record is from RefSeq and is a predicted model, not a curated record. The transcript has 5 exons. Lineage: Eukaryota; Metazoa; Chordata; Aves; Falconiformes; Falconidae.
CCUCGCUCUGGUGCAACUGAUUUUGCCAGGUGCACCACUUCCGUCACCGUGCCCUCCUGGCACAUGGUCUGGCAGCGAAGGCAGUGGGCGUUUGCAGGAAUGCCAGCCUUGUCCUGGGGGAUAUUACUGCAAUAGCUCCGGGCAGAGGGCCCCUUCAGGACCAUGCAGCCCAGGGUACUACUGUGUCACUAGGGCCCAGACCCCAACCCCCACUGAUGGCCUCUCAGGAGCUCCGUGUCCAGUGAGUCACUUUUGUCCUCUUGGAUCCAGGAGUCCAGCUCCAUGCCCCCCUGGCUCCUACAUGCCACACACUCAUGGAGAGAAGUGCAAUGCUUGCCCAGAAGGUGAAUACUGUGUGUCUGGUGAGAAGGCACAGCCGUGUCCCCAGGGCUAUUUCUGUCCCAAGGGCACAGCUCUUCCAAUUGCUUGUCCGGCAGGGUCCUAUAACCCUUCACAAAGGCAAGGCAGCUGCCUCCCCUGUCCUGCAGGGUUCUUCUGCCCCAAAAAUUCUUCUUCCUUUUCGGAGAAUCAGUGUUCAGCUGGCCACUACUGCCCUACUGGUACUGCUUCUGCAACUCAGUUCCCAUGUCCUAAGGGGACUUACAACCCACAGACUGGAAGCAGCCUGAUGUCUCACUGCACCCCUUGUGACCCAGGGCACUACUGUGCGCUUGCGGGGCAGUCACAUGUUACAGGACCCUGUUUGGCUGGAUUCUACUGCAGCAGAGGUGUUUCUAGUCCAACACCUACAGAUGGUCUUCUGGGGAACGCAUGCCUGAAGGGAACUUACUGUCCUGUGGGCUCUGCCUUUCCACAGCCAUGUCCUCGUGGUUAUUACAGCAACUCAACUGGGA